AGAGAGAGACAUGCGCGCAUAUCAAUAAGCGGAGGAAAAGAAACUAACAAGGAUUCCCCUAGUAACGGCGAGUGAAGCGGGAAGAGCUCAAAUUUGAAAUCUUAAAGGUUUUCCCUUGACGAAUUGUAGUUUAAAGAAGUGUUUUCUGUUGAAGUUUUGGUAAAAGUUCUUUGGAAUAGGACAUCAUAGAGGGUGAGAAUCCCGUAUUUGACCAUUAUUUUCAACUUUGUGAUACACUUUCAAAGAGUCAGAUUGUUUGGGAAUGCAGUCCAAAAUGGGUGGUAAAUUUCAUCUAAAGCUAAAUAUUGGCGAGAGACCGAUAGCGAACAAGUACCGUGAGGGAAAGAUGAAAAGAACUUUGAAAAGAGAGUUAAACAGUACGUGAAAUUGUCAAAAGGGAAGCGUUUGACACCUGUGUUGUUUUUCUGAAAAUCAAUUAAAGAACUGUUUAUGCUAAGUUGUUUAGACUUUAUCAGCUAACUGUUUAGUUUUGAGCUUUUCUUUAAUGCACUUUUCAGUUAACAAGUCAACAUCAAUUUCUUUUGCUGUAAAAAAGCUUGAGGAAGGUGGCUUGAGAUUCGUCUUAAGUGUUUAUAGCCUCUUGCCUAUGCAGUCGGAGAGAUUGAGGUCUGCAGCGUAGAUCCUUCGGGGCUAAAUGCAUUUGUGCUAAGUUAUAGCAUUUUAUAGACAACUUGUUGACUAUGAUUUGUCUUGUAGCUUACUCGCUUAUGUUAUUUUACCUACGCUUAGGAUGUUGAGCGCAUGUCUCUCUCU
Molecule: ribosomal RNA, 774 nt
Filed under: uncultured Neocallimastigales
Lineage: Eukaryota; Fungi; Neocallimastigomycota; Neocallimastigomycetes; Neocallimastigales
Description: partial large subunit ribosomal RNA
Rfam family: Eukaryotic large subunit ribosomal RNA
Source: RNAcentral